UGGGGAAUUUUGGACAAUGGGGGAAACCCUGAUCCAGCCAUCCCGCGUGUGCGAUGAAGGCCUUCGGGUUGUAAAGCACUUUUGGCAGGAAAGAAACGUCGCGGGUUAAUACCCCGCGGAACUGACGGUACCUGCAGAAUAAGCACCGGCUAACUACGUGCCAGCAGCCGCGGUAAUACGUAGGGUGCAAGCGUUAAUCGGAAUUACUGGGCGUAAAGCGUGCGCAGGCGGUUCGGAAAGAAAGAUGUGAAAUCCCAGAGCUUAACUUUGGAAACUGCAUUUUUUAACUACCGGGCUAGAGUGUGUCAGAGGGAGGUGGAAUUCCGCGUGUAGCAGGUGAAAUGCGUAGAUAUGCGGAGGAAACACCGAUGGCGAAGGCAGCCUCCUGGGAUAACACUGACGCUCAUGCACGAAAAGCGUGGGGAGCAAAACAGGAUUAGAUACCCUGGUAGUCCACGCCCUAAACGAUGUCAACUAGCUGUUGGGGUCUUCGGACCUUGGUAGCGCAGCUAACGCGUGAAGUUGACCGCCUGGGGAGUAC
This 541-nucleotide ribosomal RNA is filed under the name uncultured bacterium. RNAcentral's name for it is "partial 16S ribosomal RNA". It matches the Rfam family "Bacterial small subunit ribosomal RNA", at positions 355 to 883 of the family's 1533-position model. The record is from RNAcentral.